This 253-nucleotide ribosomal RNA is filed under the name uncultured bacterium. RNAcentral describes it as "partial 16S ribosomal RNA". It matches the Rfam family "Bacterial small subunit ribosomal RNA", at positions 524 to 776 of the family's 1533-position model. The record is from RNAcentral.
UACGUAGGGGGCAAGCGUUGUCCGGAAUUAUUGGGCGUAAAGAGCGUGUAGGCGGUCCGGUAAGUCGGCUGUGAAAGCGCCCGGCUCAACCGGGCGAGGCCAUUGGAAACUACAAAGCUGGAGGGCAGUAGAGGCAGGCGGAAUUCCGGGUGGAGUGGUGAAAUGCGUAGAGAUCCGGAGGAACACCAGAGGCGAAGGCGGCCUGCUGGGCUGCACCUGACGCUGAGCCGCGAAAGCCAGGGGAGCGAACGGG